GAUGAACGCUAGCGGCAGGCUUAAUACAUGCAAGUCGAGGGGCAGCAGGGGUGUAGCAAUACACUCGCUGGCGACCGGCAAACGGGUGCGGAACACGUACGCAAUCUACCCAAAACUGGUGAAUAGCCCUCCGAAAGGAGGAUUAAUACACCGUAACUUAAGGAAGUGGCAUCACUAUCUUAAUAUAGCUCCGGCGGUUUUGGAUGAGCGUGCGCCUGAUUAGGAGUUGGCGGGGUAACGGGCCCACCAAGCCUACGAUCAGUAACUGGUGUGAGAGCACGACCAGU
RNAcentral lists this ribosomal RNA (287 nucleotides) under uncultured bacterium. Its description in RNAcentral is "partial 16S ribosomal RNA". It matches the Rfam family "Bacterial small subunit ribosomal RNA", at positions 28 to 308 of the family's 1533-position model. The record is from RNAcentral.